This 254-nucleotide ribosomal RNA is filed under the name uncultured bacterium. Its description in RNAcentral is "partial 16S ribosomal RNA". It matches the Rfam family "Bacterial small subunit ribosomal RNA", at positions 524 to 776 of the family's 1533-position model. The record is from RNAcentral.
UACGGGGGGAGCAAGCGUUGUUCGGAUUUACUGGGCGUAAAGGGCGCGUAGGCGGCCACCGCAAGUCGGUUGUGAAAUCUCCGGGCUUAACCCGGAAAGGUCAACCGAUACUGCGGGGCUAGAGUGCAGAAGGGGCAACUGGAAUUCUCGGUGUAGCGGUGAAAUGCGUAGAUAUCGAGAGGAACACCUGCGGCGAAGGCGGGUUGCUGGGCUGACACUGACGCUGAGGCGCGAAAGCGUGGGGAGCGAACAGG